ACGGAGGGUGCGAGCGUUAAUCGGAAUUACUGGGCGUAAAGGGUGCGCAGGUUGUUUGAUAAGUUAUCUGUAAAAUCCCCGGGCUUAACCUGGGCAGUUCGUAUAAGACUAUUGGGCUUGAGUACAGGAGAGGGGAGUGGAAUUUCCGGUGUAGCGGUGAAAUGCGUAGAGAUCGGAAGGAACACCAGUGGCGAAGGCAGCUGCCUGGGCUGAUACUGACACUGAGGCACGAAAGCGUGGGGAGCAAACAG
RNAcentral lists this ribosomal RNA (251 nucleotides) under uncultured prokaryote. RNAcentral describes it as "partial 16S rRNA". It matches the Rfam family "Bacterial small subunit ribosomal RNA", at positions 525 to 775 of the family's 1533-position model. The record is from RNAcentral.